UACGAAGGGGGCUAGCGUUGUUCGGAAUUACUGGGCGUAAAGCGCGCGCAGGCGGUCUUCCAAGUCAGUGGUGAAAGCCCGGAGCUCAACUCCGGAACUGCCAUUGAAACUGUAAGACUUGAGGAUGAGAGAGGUGAGUGGAAUUCCCAGUGUAGAGGUGAAAUUCGUAGAUAUUGGGAGGAACACCAGUGGCGAAGGCGGCGAUCUGGGAAGAUACUGACGCUGAGGUGCGAAAGCGUGGGGAGCAAACAGG
RNAcentral lists this ribosomal RNA (253 nucleotides) under uncultured bacterium. RNAcentral describes it as "partial 16S ribosomal RNA". It matches the Rfam family "Bacterial small subunit ribosomal RNA", at positions 524 to 776 of the family's 1533-position model. The record is from RNAcentral.